AUGGAACAUCAGUUAACGACUGGUGUCUCUGUUUAUUAAGAAAUGGAAUAUUGUUUUACAGUUUUUUGUCAUUAGGUUUUUUUUCUACAGCUCAAGCACGUAUGAAAAAUUUGGUGAAGUAAAGAGCAACAACACUGUAUAUGCUGACAAAACUAUGAAUAAUGCAGCCGGUAAGAAAUGAAAACAACAUGUUAUAUAAAUUACAUGCUUCCCAAGCAUUUUUCUGGGAUUUUCGUCAGAAACACCCAAAAGCUUUAUAAUUGAAAAGGCUAGGGUUUAUAAGAACCGAAACAAUUGAAGAGCUUUAUGACAAAAAAUAACCUAAUAAAAUAACCAAAUCCUUCUAAUGCCAUCUUUGCCUGUGGGAGUGGAAACCGCAGUUUCUUUAUAACUUCAAAAUUUAUAAACGAAUAAUUUUUAGUAAGGAUAAAUCAUGUCAGUACCAAAGUACUGACUACUGAGCUGAUGAUACCCUCGGAUACUGUUAGUCCAUCAGAAGAGGUACCGACCCAGUGAUGUAAAAAAUGAAAAUAACACGUUAUAUAAAUUUUAUGCGUCCGAACCGCUUUUCUGGAUUUACCUUCAUCAGGAACGCUCAAAGCCAAAUAUUUGAAAGCCUAGGAUUUAAGACUACGGGUGUCGUUUUGAAAUAUGAUAAUUUUAAAGAAUGAUCAUAUUUUCAUAAAAUUUACACUAGUUUUGGCACAGAGUUGGCGUCUUACAUUAACACUUUUCUUUGAAUAAAACCGACACAAAUACCUAAUGCAUUAAGAUAGGCAAUAAUACUCAGUAAUCUAGCAUACACACAAGAAAAAAAGCAAUAAAGUGAUAGUGAUAAUAUCCAUAUUUUAGAAAUAAGUUAAAUUGAAACAUUUUGCAAUGAUCAAAAUUAUUCACACUAACCGACUUUUAUUUUAUUCAACUAAAUUUGCUUUAAAAACAAAGUUAUAUCUUAUGGAGGACAUCCGUACAACUUUAAUUUAUUGCAUUUUACAAAAAGGCAGUUUUUAAAAAGUAGAUAUUAUUACGAACGUUUAUUUCAGAAUUGCAUAGGAAAGACAUGGACACGGAUGUAUAUGUCAACACAGAAUUAAAACCGUCAACGAAAACCUAAUUCUAUGGAGUUUUCUGGUUUACUUAUUUAAAAGAAAAUGUACAACUGAUAGAGCUCAGUACAAAUUUAAACAGUCCUGUGGAAAACAGUGCUUUAUUGACAAAAACUGUAUUAACAGAGGGAUAUUAUAAGUACUUCGAAUG
This 1257-nucleotide long non-coding RNA is filed under the name Mytilus galloprovincialis (Mediterranean mussel). The record is from RNAcentral. Lineage: Eukaryota; Metazoa; Mollusca; Bivalvia; Mytilida; Mytilidae.